RNAcentral lists this ribosomal RNA (479 nucleotides) under uncultured bacterium. RNAcentral describes it as "bacterial SSU rRNA". It matches the Rfam family "Bacterial small subunit ribosomal RNA", at positions 29 to 507 of the family's 1533-position model. The record is from RNAcentral.
AACGAACGCUAGCGGGAGGCUUAACACAUGCAAGUCGAGGGGUAAAUGGUAGCAAUACUAUGAGACCGGCGAACGGGUGCGUAACGCGUAUGCAACUUACCUUAUGCAGGGGGAUAGCCCGUGGAAACGCGGAUUAAUAUCCCAUAGAUCAGUAAUAUCGCAUGGUAUAACUGGUAAAACUCAGGUGGCAUAAGAUGGGCAUGCGUCUGAUUAGCUAGUUGGUAGGGUAACGGCCUACCAAGGCGACGAUCAGUAGGGGUUCUGAGAGGAUUAUCCCCCACACUGGUACUGAGACACGGACCAGACUCCUACGGGAGGCAGCAGUAAGGAAUAUUGGUCAAUGGGCGGAAGCCUGAACCAGCCAUGCCGCGUGCAGGAAGACGGCCUUAUGGGUUGUAAACUGCUUUUGUCAGGGAAUAAACCCUCGUUUGCGAACGAGGCUGAAGGUACCUGAAGAAUAAGCAUCGGCUAACUCCGUG